Molecule: RNA transcript, 1138 nt
Organism: Oryza brachyantha (malo sina)
Lineage: Eukaryota; Viridiplantae; Streptophyta; Magnoliopsida; Poales; Poaceae
Exons: 3
Source: RefSeq, a predicted model, not a curated record
AAUACUUGUGGCAUUGCUGUAAUUUGGGAGUACUGAAAGUGUAGAGUGCUAAGGGCUUCGAAUGGGGAUUAGGCUGGUCUUGUCCUAGACCUAGGGCAGCACAGGAUGCCGUCGCCGCCGCCGUCGGGAGGGCAUCCCACAUCGACGCCCGCCGGUCCCGUCGCCGGUUGGGCAGUUAGCCGCCGGUCCGCAACCGCCAUCGCAAGCCGCUCCCCCAUCGACGCCGACGCCGUGGGAUGGCACUCCCGCGCCGACUCCCAUCGGUCUGGUAGCCCAACGGCGGCCGGUCCGUAGCGGCCGUCGCAAGCCGCUCCGGCCAACCGUGCAUGUACAUGGACGCCGGCCUCGCCGCCACCGUCACAGCGCUCCGCUACCUGCACCGACCUGGCACACCUGGCGCACGUCCUGCUCCAAUUCCGCCUCACCUACAUCUCCAGCGAGUCCCUCGUCGUCAGCUGCGUCAAGCUUGUCUGGGACUCCCGCGCCAUCGCCGCGCACUACGCCCGCUCCCUCAAGGGUCUCUAGUUUGACAUCUUCGUCAUCCUGCCCAUCCCACAGGUGUUUAUACGACUUGGGCGUCUUCUAUUGAACUGGCAGAACAUAUUCCGGUAUGGUUCUCUGAGCACAAGAAAGAUGUUGAAACCAGGAGGUUCAGCUGAAAGAGGUAGUAACACAGAAAUUGGACGAGGCAACUGGGAUUUCUGCAUGCCCUGUUAUGAAAUGUUAGGAUAUUAUCGUCCAUUCUGUCUAAAAAUAUGUUUGUUGCAAUGCAGGUUCCUAAGCUUAGAAAAGAUUACAUUGAUGGGGUUUCUGUCUAGCUGAUACUUAUGACAUGCUUUUGGAAGAGAAACGUGCUUUUGGAAGAUUACAUUGAUGAGGUUUCUGCCUGUUCCAAUGAUUUAGGAGCUUAAGGAGACCGCACCUUGCAUUUUGUAAACAAAUUAGGUAAAGUAGCUGGCUGUAUUUGUUGGCUUGUGUACAUUUGGUUUCCGAAUUGUAUUUGUGUAACCAAUCCAUGUUGGUUGGAAUUACUUUGUGAUGUAUAUAUGAUGUUUGGCUCACAAACCAGAUUGUACUGCUGCUGUAAAUUAUUUCUACAGAUUGAGUGAUGAAAUGUGUGAUAGCAUGAAAGAAUAUA